Molecule: ribosomal RNA, 267 nt
Filed under: Sesamia jansei
Lineage: Eukaryota; Metazoa; Arthropoda; Insecta; Lepidoptera; Noctuidae
Description: partial 16S large subunit ribosomal RNA
Source: RNAcentral
AAUUUAAUUUUUUAAUUAAAAAGUUAAAAUAUGUUAAAAAGACGAGAAGACCCUAUAGAGUUUUAUAAUUUAAGAUAAUUAAGAUUAUUUAUAAAAUAAAAAUUGAAAUUAUUUUAUUUAUUUUGUUGGGGUGACAGAAAAAUAUAAAAAACUUUUUAUAUAGAAAAACAUUGAUAAAUGAUUAGAUGAUCCAAUAUUAUUGAUUAUAAGAAAAAAUUACCUUAGGGAUAACAGCGUAAUUUUUUUUUUUAGUUCACAUAAAAAAAA